CAAAUAAAUAGUUCCUGUUUUCUGUUUUACUAUUUAUCAGUGCCAGAUACUCUAAGCAUUUGACACGGCCGUAUUUGUGAAAUUUUAAUGCUGAUGUGAACUUUAAUACUGAUAUAUAUUGUCAGUCCAGCUGUGAGUGAGAAGCUUAAAUGAUGUUGUAUACCGUCAGUCCAGCUGUGAGUUAGAAGCUUAAAUGAUGAUGUAUACUGUCAGUUCAGCUGUGAGUGAGAAGCUUAAAUGAUGAUGUAUACCGUCAGUCCAGCUGUUAGUGAGAAGCUUAAAUGAUGAUGUAUACCGUCAGUUCAGCUGUGAGUGAGAAGCUUAAAUGAUGUUGUAUACCGUCAGUCCAGCUGUGAGUUAGAAGCUUAUAUGAUGAUGUAUACUGUCAGUUCAGCUGUGAGUGAGAAGCUUAAAUGAUGAUGUAUACCGUCAGUCCAGCUGUGAGUGAGAAGCUUAAAUGAUGAUGUAUACCGUCAGUCCAGCUGUGAGUGAGAAGCUUAAAUGAUGAUGUAUACCGUCAGUCCAGCUGUGAGUGAGAAGCUUAAAUGAUGAUGUAUACCGUCAGUCCAGCUGUGAGUGAGAAGCUUAAAUGAUGUUGUAUACCGUCAGUCCAGCUGUGAGUGAGAAGCUUAAAUGAUGUUGUAUUCCGUCAGUCCAGCUGUGAGUGAGAAGCUUAAAUGAUGUUGAAUACCUUCAGUCCAGCUGUGAGUGAGAAGCUUAAAUGAUGUUGUAUACCGUCAGUCCAGCUGUGAGUGAGACGCUUAAAUGAUGAUGUCUACCGUCAGUCCAGCUGUGAGUGAAAAGCUUAAAUGAUGAUGUGUACCAUCAUUCCAGCUGUGAGUGAGAAGCUUAAAUGAUGUUGUAUACCGUCAGUCCAGCUGUGAGUGAGAAGCUUAAAUGAUGAUGUAUACUGCUGUUCAUGUAUAAAAGUCCACAACUUUAAAAUUUACUGUAGAAACAAAGAGCAACAUGGGACAGAGGAACCAUUGAUUGAAGUUUUCUUAAACUGCUUGUGGGGUAAAGAAUGAAAAUUGAUGUUUAUAGUUAGUACAAUUUUAAAUUUUAUUUAUACAGAUGCAGUUGAAAUUUUCUGCCCCACCGAAACCUGGUAUCUACACAUAUAACAUCAUUCUUAGAUCAGACAGUUACUUUGACUUUGACCAGAUUCACAACAUCAAGCUGGACGUGAAGGAGGCCAAGGUUGUCGAGGACCAUCCACAGUGGGAUAUUUCUGAUUCUGAGGAUGAAGCCAGAGACCAGGACGCUGAAGCCAGUAAUGACUCUGAUUACUCCACAGACAUGGAUGACUCGGAUGACGAAUAAUCUGAUCAAUGCAUGAAAAGUUUCAGUCACUGUGAUCAAAAUUUAUGGUCUUAACACCAUGUAUGAAAUUAUGUUGGAUGGGGACAAUUAACUGACCAUAUGUAUGUUGUGGAAUAUGUGAUAUUUAGUCAGUUAUAUUGAAAGUUUUGUACAAGGUACAGAUCUGUAGUAUUUAGAGUGAAAUGUAGUCAAUUUGAGAAAACUACAUGUGGUGUUUGAAUGAAAUGACUAUAAAUCUGAUUAUAAUAUUUUCAGUACUGGUGGCAAGUUAUGUGUUCAUUUUGAGAUAUUUGUGGAACCUGUUUACACAGUCUUAUAUACUGAGCUGACUGCAUUAGUUGUGAAUCAGACUCUUUAAGAGGUAUGUGUAAGCUGUCAGUUGAUCAUUAAGUACAAUUUUGCCUUUUUAUGUUGUAUACAUAAUAUCUACCAACAGGAAGAGUUUGAGGCAUUUUACUUGAAAGAAAAAAUUCAUUUGUCUUGUGCCAAAUCUACUGUACUACAAAUGUUUGGGAUUUUUACGUAAAAAGUUAACUUUUUUCCCUAGCUGAUUGGAAUGACAAAUCCAAUAUUAAAUACAUAAUUGUUUUACAGUGUGUGAAAAUAUUCCACAAGAUAUCUGUAAUAAUACAAGUAAAACACAGCUCACUCAAGCAUAUCAUGGAUUGCUCGAAAUCCCCGUGACCUUGAGUGAUUAAUGUUUUACUGUAUAAUCGUUAUAUUAGUGCUGCCAUAGAGCCACCUGAUUGUACAUACACAACACAUUAUUGGUGCUGGUACCAUAACUAUGACUAUUAUUACUGCAAGUUGGAUUACAUUUAAGAUCAUUUCAUUUUUAGCCCACCAUCAUCAGAUGGUGGGCUAUUCAAAUCACUCUGCAUCCGUGGUCCGUCGUCCUUCCGUCCGUUAACAAUUUCUUGUUAUCGCAUCUCCUCAGAAACUACUAGGGGGAUUUUGACCAAACUUUGUCAGAAUGAUGUAUUGGUACCCUAGUUGUGUCCCCCUGAAAAUCAGACUGGUUCAACAAUUUUUUAGUAAGUUAUGGCCCUUUGUUUAUUUCUAUAAUUUACAUAGAUUUAUAUAGGGAAAAACUUUGAAAACCUUCUUGUCCAUAACCACAGAGCCUAGGGCUUUGAUAUUUGGUUUGAAGCAUCAUCUAGUGGUCCUCUACCAAGAUGAUUCAAAUUAUUUUUCUGGGGUCAAAUAUGGCCCCGCCCUGGGGGUCACAUGGUUUAUAUUGACUUAUAUAGGGAAAAACUUUAAAUAACCUCUUGUCCAAAACCACAGGGCCUAGGGCUUUGAUAUUUUGUAUGUGACAUCAUCUAGUGGUCUUCAACUAAGAUUGUUCAAAUUAUACCCCUAGGGUCAAAUAUGGCCCCGCCCUGGGGGUCAUAUGUUUUACAUAGACUUAUAUAAGGAAAAACUUUGAAAAUCUUCUUGUCCAAACCACAAAGCCUAAGGCUUUGAUACUUGUAAUGUAGCAUCAUCUAGUGGUUCUCUACCAAGUUUGUUCAAAUUAUCCCCCUAGGGUCAAAAAUGGCCCCGCCCCAGGGCUCACAUGGUUCAUACAGACUUAUAUAGGGAAAAGCUUUUAAAAUGUUCUUGUCAAUAACUACAACAUUCAUAUUUGGACCACAUAUAUAUUUUUGAGUGGCAAGAUGAACCUUGACAUGAGUUGACCUUGAUUUUGACCUAGUGACCUACUUUCACAUUUCUGUAGCUACAGCCUUCAAAUUUGGAUCACAUGUAUAUUCUUGAGUGGCAAGAUGAACCUUGACAUGAGUUCACCUUGAUUUUGACCUAGUGACCUACUUUCACAUUUCUGUAGCUACAGCCUUCAAAUUUGGACCACAUGCAAAGUUUUGUGCACUGGAAAAAAACUUUGACCUUGAUUUUGACUUAGUGACCUACUUUCAUAUUUUUAAAGGUACAGGCGUCAAAUUUAGACCAUAUGCAUAGUUCUGUGUUUCAAAAUGAAAUUUGACAUUGAUUUUGACCUAGUGACCUACUUUCACAUUUCUCAAGCUACAGCCUUCAAAUUUGGACCACAUGUAUAGUUUUGUGCACUGAAAAAAAACUUAGACCUUCACAUUGACCUAGUGACCUUCUUUCACAUUUUUGAAGGUACAUGCUUCAAAUUUGGACCACAUGCAUAGUUUUGUAUUCUGAAAUAAAAUUUGACCUUGAUUUUGACCUAGUGACCUACUUUUACAUUUCUCAAGCUACAGCCUUCAAAUUUGGACCACUUGCAUAGUUUUGUGUACCAAAAUGAACUUUGACCUUAAGGUUGACCUAGUGACCUACUUUCACAUUUCUGUAGCUACAGGCUUCAAAUUUAGACCACAUGCAUAGGACUGUGUACCGAAACAAACUUUGACCUUGACAUUGACCUACUUUCACAUUUCUCUAGCUACAGCUUUCGAAUUUGGACCACAUGCACAGUGUUGUGUACGGAAACGAAAUUUGACCUUGAGCUAGUCAGUAAGUCUUGAAAUUUGGAACACUCCAAAAUGGCACAUUGGUGGGCGCCAAGAUCACUCUGUGAUCUCUUGUUGCAAUUCAUGAUAGCUGACAGAGAUGGAAAUUGACAGUUGUCCCAGCUAAGUUGGGGAUAAUGUACAAUGUACAAAAUAUGUAAUAUAUACUAAGUGAAUAAUAUCCAAUCUGUAGCAGUUUUUAGCUCACCUGUCACAAAGUGACAAGGUGAGCUUUUGUGAUCGCGCAGCGUCCGUCGUCCGUCCGUGCGUGCGUAAACUUUUGCUUGUGACCACUCUAUAGGUCACAUUUUUCAUGGGAUCUGUAUGAAAAUUGGUCAGAAUGUUCCCCUUGAUGAUAUCUAGGUCAAGUUCGAAACUGGGUCACGUGCGGUCAAAAAGUAGGUCUAAAAAUAGAAAAACCUUGUGACCUCUCUAGAGGCCAUAUAUUUCACAAGAUCUUCAUGAAAAUUGGUCAGAAUGUUUAUCUUGAUGAUAUCUAGGUCAAGUUCGAAACUGGGUCAUGUGCAGUCAAAAACUAGGUCAGUAGGUCUAAAAAUAGAAAAACCUUGUGACCUCUCUAGAGGCCAUACUUAUGAAUGGAUCUUCAUAAAAAUUGGUCAGAAUGUUCACCUUGAUGAUAUCUAGGUCAAGUUUGAAACUGGGUCAUGUGCGGUCAAAAACUAGGUCAGUAGGUCUAAAAAUAGAAAAACCUUGUGACCUCUCUAGAGGCCAUAUAUUUCAUGAUAUCUUCAUGAAAAUUGGUCAGAAUGUUCACCUUGAUGAUAUCUAGGUCAAGUUCGAAACUGGGUCACGUGCCGUCAAAAACUAGGUCAGUAGGUCAAAUAAUAGAAAAACCUUGUGACCUCUCUAGAGGCCAUAUUUUUCAUGGGAUCUGUAUGAAAGUUGGUCUGAAUGUUCAUCUUGAUGAUAUCUAGGUCAAGUUUGAAAGUGGGUCAUGUGUGGUCAAAAACUAGGUCAGUAGGUCUAAAAAUAGAAAAACCUUGUGACCUCACUAGAGGCCAUACUUGUGAAUGGAUCUCCAUAAAAUUUGGUCAGAAUGUUCAUCUUGAUGAUAUCUAGGUCAAAUUCGAAAGUGGGUCACGUGCCUUCAAAAAGUAGGUCAGUAGGUCAAAUAAUGAAAAAAUGUUGUGACCUCUCUAGAGGCCAUAUUUUUCAUGGGAUCUGUAUGAAAGUUGGUCUGAAUGUUUAUCUUGAUGAUAUAUAGGUCAAGUUUGAAACUGGGUCAACUGCAAUCAAAAACUAGGUCAGUAGGUCUUAAAAUAGAAAAACCUUGUGACCUCUCUAGAGGCCAUACCCUUGAAUGGAUCUUCACGAAAAUUGGUCAGAAUUUUUAUCUUGAUAAUGUCUAGGUCAAGUUCAAAACUGGGUCACGAGCUCAAAAACUACGGUAGGUCACUAUGUCAAAUAGUAGAAAAAACGACGUCAUACUCAAAACUGGGUCAUGUGGGAACAGGUGAGCGAUUCAGGACCAUCAUGGUCCUCUUGUUUUUUUUCAUGGUCAACUUGUAUAGUUCCAUUUGACAGUUUUGUUUUUUGGAGCACAUUUUUUCCUUCAAAGAAAAGUUUGUGAAAUAAAUUUUCAGCCAUAUUUUUGUAAGAAGUAUGUACAUAAAAUAAAUUAUUUUACAAAUUGUUUAA
Molecule: long non-coding RNA, 5459 nt
Organism: Mercenaria mercenaria
Lineage: Eukaryota; Metazoa; Mollusca; Bivalvia; Venerida; Veneridae
Exons: 2
Source: RefSeq, a predicted model, not a curated record